This 321-nucleotide ribosomal RNA is filed under the name uncultured eukaryote. RNAcentral describes it as "partial 18S ribosomal RNA". It matches the Rfam family "Eukaryotic small subunit ribosomal RNA", at positions 1470 to 1796 of the family's 1831-position model. The record is from RNAcentral.
CCCUUAGAUGUUCUGGGCCGCACGCGUGCUACACUGACCGGCGCAACAAGUUUCUUUCCUUGGCCGAUAGGUCUGGGUAAUCUUUGAACGCUGUUCGUGAUUGGGAUAGACCUUUGCAAUUAUGGGUCUUCAACGAGGAAUUCCUAGUAAACGCAAGUCAUCAGCUUGCAUUGAUUACGUCCCUGCCCUUUGUACACACCGCCCGUCGCACCUACCGAUUGAAUGGUCCGGUGAAAUCUCGGGACGGCGGCUUGGUCGCUUGCGUCCGACUGCUGAAACUUGAUUAAACCAUAUCAUUUAGAGGAAGGUGAANUCGUANCA